This 1609-nucleotide long non-coding RNA is filed under the name Triticum aestivum (bread wheat). RNAcentral describes it as "long non-coding RNA (TAES_LNC007602)". The record is from RNAcentral. Lineage: Eukaryota; Viridiplantae; Streptophyta; Magnoliopsida; Poales; Poaceae.
GCCUUUGGAAUCCGUUUGUAAUUGGGUUGACUUGUGGAGCAACGCACAAGUGUCGGAGGAAUCCACUGCAUAUGGUACCAAGUUUUCAAUCAAGGCUGAUAUAAAUUAGUGCAUAAUGUCUUUUAUCCCAAAUGUAAAGAAGUUUUGUCAAGAUGAAGCAGUUUAGCAGAUUGUAAAUUGGCCGAUGAAUGACUAUCAUUUAAUUUCGUCUUCAAAAGUGGCAGCAUAAAACUCAGUUGCAUAUAUUAUCUACAGCAUCGUAAGUUUUCAUAGCAGCAGACGUGGUGUCAUGGAUUUACGUCUCUGCAACUCUUGGAUUUCCUCUGCAGUUGUUUCAAACUUAAGACGGCAUACAUAUUAUCUGGACUAGUUAAUUAGUUAUUACCAUCUUUGAUGCUUAUUCCAAAGCUCUAUUAGUUUGAUUCACUGGAAAUGUGCUUAUGAAUCUGCUUGUUUCGCGAAUUAUAAAUAAGUUAUGCUAUCAAUUGAACCUUCUGCAUGUGGUUUUUCUUAGUAUUCAUUCUAUCAGAUGUUCAGAACACAAGCUAAGCUAUCAACCUUCUUAUAUUGCACCACUCCAAGAUAUUAGUUGCUUGAUGGUUCAAAUAUGUUGUGGUUCCUAUUAUUUGAUUGAGCACAUAUUGAUUCGAUAUGUUGCACAUUAAGCAUACUGGCAACCUUAAUAGUCACCGCAUUUUCUGAUAACAAGUUGGCUAGAAUUUGUUGCACAUGUGCCUAGUGUUUUGCAUAUGGGACUUAGCAACAGACUUAUUUAGCCACGUAAAUUUCCGUAGCAACAGACUUAGUGUCACAGUUUACAUGCCAUCAGCACAUGGAUUUCCUAAUUGGUAGUUAUAUUCAAACUUAAAACACCAUGCUGCUUAUUUGUUCAGCGAAGCUCUAUUAAUUUAAUUCACUGAAAAUCGGGCUGAUAAAGACUACACGCCCCUUUCCCUUUGGGGUGUUCAUCGUGUCAAUUGGAUUAUUUAGCCACGCAUUUUAGCCUAAGCUUGGGUCACGAACUUACAUUUGUAGAUCACGCAGCUGAACAUGUUGUUACUGGAUAAUUACACGAUCCUGUGUGCAGUACAAUCGACGUUGCUGACAUAUAGCUGCCAUACAUACCAUACAUAUGCUCUUGAUCUUGCUGCGGGUUUUAGUAACGUGCCAGUUUCAUUGUUGUCCCCUCUGUAAUUGUACGCACCCUAUAUGUAACUUUGCUGAUAAUUCUUUCCUUAUGAUCCAGGGUGGCGGCUCUUGACCGGUGACUUUGGGGGCACACUUUUCUGUUCAAAAUCAGCUUGCAGGAAGCUUCUACAUACGUUGUUAUGAUACAUGAGGCAAUGAAAAUAGAUUAUCUUCUGUCUGCUACGUUAGUAGGUGCAAUUUUGGCAAACAUGGAUGGAGCCCUUAAGACAGCUUGUUGGGUGGUGAUCUGAUUCUCCUGUUGGUUUCACAUGGAUGAUACUGUCACAAAUUCAUGGUACCCUGAGAUUUGGUGAACCGUGGCAUGGCUUUGGCUUAUUGUUCAGUGAGUAGCAAAUAUCCCAUGAAUGAAACUCUGAUGUUGCUUCUUUCCUGCCAUUGCAGCAUGUUAAUCUUUGUUCUU